RNAcentral lists this RNase P RNA (418 nucleotides) under Telmatospirillum siberiense. Its description in RNAcentral is "Bacterial RNase P class A". It matches the Rfam family "Bacterial RNase P class A". From Rfam's summary of the family: Ribonuclease P (RNase P) is a ubiquitous endoribonuclease, found in archaea, bacteria and eukarya as well as chloroplasts and mitochondria. Its best characterised activity is the generation of mature 5'-ends of tRNAs by cleaving the 5'-leader elements of precursor-tRNAs. Lineage: Bacteria; Pseudomonadati; Pseudomonadota; Alphaproteobacteria; Rhodospirillales; Rhodospirillaceae. The record is from Rfam by way of RNAcentral.
UCAGAUGGCUGGAUGGCCGCUCUCCGGGUAACCGGGGGGAGGAAAGUCCGGGCUCCACGGAAAUACGGUGCCGGAUAACGUCCGGCGGGGGAAACCCCAGGGAAAGUGCCACAGAAAGCAAACCGCCGGCUCAAGCGGCCCCUCACGGGACCGCCGGCAGGCAAGGGUGAAAGGGUGCGGUAAGAGCGCACCGCGCGCCCGGCAACGGGAGCGGCACGGCAAACCCCACCGGGAGCAAGACCAAGUAGGGACGGCAUGCCGGUCGGAAAGCCCGUCAGGGCUUGAUUGGCAAGGCGCAUUUCCGCGCUGUCGUCCGGGUCGGUCGCGCGAGGCGUCCGGUAACGGGCGUCCCAGAUGAAUGGCCAUCCAUCCGCCCUCGGGCGGGGGACAGAACCCGGCUUAUAGGCCAUCUGACGCA